This 484-nucleotide ribosomal RNA is filed under the name uncultured bacterium. Its description in RNAcentral is "partial 16S ribosomal RNA". It matches the Rfam family "Bacterial small subunit ribosomal RNA", at positions 30 to 507 of the family's 1533-position model. The record is from RNAcentral.
AUUGAACGCUGGCGGCAGGCCUAACACAUGCAAGUCGAGCGGAUGAAGGGAGCUUGCUCCUGGAUUCAGCGGCGGACGGGUGAGUAAUGCCUAGGAAUCUGCCUGGUAGUGGGGGAUAACGUCCGGAAACGGGCGCUAAUACCGCAUACGUCCUGAGGGAGAAAGUGGGGGAUCUUCGGACCUCACGCUAUCAGAUGAGCCUAGGUCGGAUUAGCUAGUUGGUGGGGUAAAGGCCUACCAAGGCGACGAUCCGUAACUGGUCUGAGAGGAUGAUCAGUCACACUGGAACUGAGACGCGGUCCAGACUCCUACGGGAGGCAGCAGGGGGGAAUAUUGGACAAUGGGCGAAAGCCUUAUCCAGCCAUGCCGCGGGGGUGAAGAAGGGCUUCGGAUUGUAAAGCACUUUAAGUUGGGAGGAAGGACAGUAAGUUAAUACCUUGCUGUUUUGACGUUACCAACAGAAUAAGCACCGGCUAACUUCGUG